GACGAACGCUGGCGGCGUGCCUAAUACAUGCAAGUCGAGCGGACUAAUGGGAGCUUGCUCCCGUUAGUUAGCGGCGGACGGGUGAGUAACACGUGGGCAACCUACCUGUAAGACUGGGAUAACUUCGGGAAACCGGAGCUAAUACCGGAUGACAUAAAGGAACUCCUGUUCCUUUAUUGAAAGAUGGCUUCGGCUAUCACUUACAGAUGGGCCCGCGGCGCAUUAGCUAGUUGGUGAGGUAACGGCUCACCAAGGCGACGAUGCGUAGCCGACCUGGGAGGGUGAUCGGCCACACUGGGACUGAGACACGGCCCAGACUCCUACGGGAGGCAGCAGUAGGGAAUCUGCCGCAAUGGACGAAAGUCUGACGGAGCAACGCCGCGUGAGCGAUGAAGGCCUUCGGGUCGUAAAGCUCUGUUGUUAGGGAAGAAUAAGUGCUAGUUGAAUAAGCUGGCACCUUGACGGUACCUAACCAGAAAGCCACGGCUAACUACGUGCCAGCCGCCGCCGUAA
This 513-nucleotide ribosomal RNA is filed under the name uncultured bacterium. Its description in RNAcentral is "partial 16S ribosomal RNA". It matches the Rfam family "Bacterial small subunit ribosomal RNA", at positions 28 to 523 of the family's 1533-position model. The record is from RNAcentral.